AAGGAGAUGACAGAUUGGUAAUGUGACUAACUUGAAAUUAGUGUAAGGGGUUCGAUUCCUUUUUUUCUUG
Molecule: transfer RNA, 70 nt
Filed under: Ensatina eschscholtzii (common Ensatina)
Lineage: Eukaryota; Metazoa; Chordata; Amphibia; Caudata; Plethodontidae
Description: tRNA-Ser
Rfam family: tRNA
About the family: Transfer RNA (tRNA) molecules are approximately 80 nucleotides in length. Their secondary structure includes four short double-helical elements and three loops (D, anti-codon, and T loops).
Source: RNAcentral